RNAcentral lists this ribosomal RNA (502 nucleotides) under uncultured bacterium. RNAcentral's name for it is "partial 16S ribosomal RNA". It matches the Rfam family "Bacterial small subunit ribosomal RNA", at positions 28 to 507 of the family's 1533-position model. The record is from RNAcentral.
GACGAACGCUGGCGGCGUGCCUAAUACAUGCAAGUCGAACGAACCGCUACUGAGUUCUUGCACUUGGUCAAGGUGAGUGGCGAACGGGUGAGUAACACGUGGGUAACCUACCUCAUAGUGGGGGAUAACAGUCGGAAACGACUGCUAAUACCGCAUAGGAGAUAGGAUCACAUGAUCCAGUGAGGAAAGGUGGCGCAAGCUAUCGCUAAGAGAUGGACCCGCGGUGCAUUAGCUAGUUGGUAGGGUAAAGGCCUACCAAGGCGAUGAUGCAUAGCCGACCUGAGAGGGUGAUCGGCCACAUUGGGACUGAGACACGGCCCAAACUCCUACGGGAGGCAGCAGUAGGGAAUCUUCCGCAAUGGACGCAAGUCUGACGGAGCAACGCCGCGUGAGUGAAGAAGGUCUUCGGAUCGUAAAGCUCUGUUGUUAGAGAAGAACAGCGCAUAGAGUAACUGCUAUGCGUGUGACGGUAUCUAACCAGAAAGCCACGGCUAACUACGUG